Molecule: ribosomal RNA, 445 nt
Filed under: uncultured bacterium
Lineage: Bacteria
Description: partial 16S ribosomal RNA
Rfam family: Bacterial small subunit ribosomal RNA
Source: RNAcentral
GUAGGGAAUAUUGGGCAAUGGAGGCAACUCUGACCCAGCCAUGCCGCGUGCAGGAUGACGGCCCUCUGGGUUGUAAACUGCUUUUAUACGGGAAGAAAAAAUACUACGUGUAGUAUACUGACGGUACCGUAAGAAUAAGGAUCGGCUAACUCCGUGCCAGCAUCCGCGGUAAUACGGAGGAUCCAAGCGUUGUCCGGAUUUAUUGGGUUUAAAGGGUGCGUAGGCGGAUCUUUAAGUCAGUGGUGAAAGCCUGCAGCUUAACUGUAGAAUUGCCAUUGAAACUGAAGAUCUUGAAUGUGGUUAAAGUAGGCGGAAUGUAUCAUGUAGCGGUGAAAUGCUUAGAUAUGAUACAGAACACCGAUAGCGAAGGCAGCUUGCUGAACCAUUAUUGACGCUGAGGCACGAAAGCGUGGGGAGCGAACAGGAUUAGAUACCCGAGUAGUCC